Molecule: ribosomal RNA, 247 nt
Filed under: uncultured bacterium
Lineage: Bacteria
Description: partial 16S ribosomal RNA
Rfam family: Bacterial small subunit ribosomal RNA
Source: RNAcentral
GAUCCUGGCUCAGGAUGAACGCUAGCUACAGGCUUAACACAUGCAAGUCGAGGGGGCAGCAUGAACUUAGCUUGCUAAGUUUGAUGGCGACCGGCGCACGGGUGAGUAACACGUAUCCAACCUGCCGAUGACUCGGGGAUAGCCUUUCGAAAGAAAGAUUAAUACCCGAUGGUAUAGUUCUUCCGCAUGGUAGAACUAUUAAAGAAUUUCGGUCAUCGAUGGGGAUGCGUUCCAUUAGGUUGUUGGG